Molecule: ribosomal RNA, 162 nt
Filed under: Agathis borneensis
Lineage: Eukaryota; Viridiplantae; Streptophyta; Pinopsida; Araucariales; Araucariaceae
Description: nuclear 5.8S Ribosomal RNA
Rfam family: 5.8S ribosomal RNA
About the family: 5.8S ribosomal RNA (5.8S rRNA) is a component of the large subunit of the eukaryotic ribosome. It is transcribed by RNA polymerase I as part of the 45S precursor that also contains 18S and 28S rRNA.
Source: RNAcentral
AACAUGACUCUCAGCAAUGGAUAUCUUGGCUCUCGCCACGAUGAAGAACGUAGCAAAAUAUGACACUUGGUGUGAAUUGCAGAAUCCCAUGAAUCAUCAAGUCUUUGAACGCAACUUGCACCCGAGGCUUUGGUUGAGGGCACGUCUGCCUGGGUGUCGCAC